RNAcentral lists this long non-coding RNA (1740 nucleotides) under Equus caballus (horse). RNAcentral's name for it is "lncRNA (ENSECAG00000060112.1)". Lineage: Eukaryota; Metazoa; Chordata; Mammalia; Perissodactyla; Equidae. The record is from RNAcentral.
AGCACACAUAGUUGUAUAUUUUAGUUGUGGGUCCUUCUAGUUGUGGCAUGUGAGAUGCUGCCUCAGUGUGGCCUAAUGAGCGGUGCCAUGUCUGUGCCCAGGAUCCAAACCCACGAAACCCUGGGCCACCGAAGCAGAGCGCGUGAACUUAACCACUCCGCCACUGGGCUGGCCCUGAUAUUUUACUGUUUUGAUACCAGUCCUCAAAAUCCAGGAUGCAUUUUACACUCACAGCACAUUGCGCUUUGGACUAGGCACAUCCCGGUGCUCAGUAGCCCCGUGUGGCUUGUGGCUGCCCCCCUGGACCUCACGGGCCUGUUCAGCAGAGUGGUGGCCAGUCUUGCAGCCUUCCUCUUCUCCAAAUAUUCCUUUGUAAUUUUUUUUUCAAUCCCUGUAUGUAGAGUUAGUUGGAAGUGGUUAAUUUUAAAAUUUUGCCAUAAAUCCAUGUAACGUCCCAGAACAAAACGAGCCGAAAUCACACCUUACCAAACCAAAUGUCCCCCAUAGUGUUCCUGAAUAAAAAGCUGAAUGUGAACCUGAAUUUGAUUUGGGGUUAUUUUUCCUCAGGCAACCAAACGGGUGGGCCUUGUGGGGUUUCCCGGAAACCAGCCUUUCCCGCCUCCCAGGAUGCGUUUUGUAGGUGAAGCUGGACACAGGGGUGGAGAACGGAACUCACACUUGACCGAUUAACACACUAAAUAGACUCCAUAACCAGACGUGUUAAAAGAUAAGCAUACAUUUCAAGUUUUCUACUCAAACUGUCCUCAGUUUGCUUAUACCUGCAUUAGGACCAUUUUUCAUUUCCUUUCGCUUUAAAGCCCUUUUCAGUACGAAGUUCCAUGGAUCUCUGAUUCUCUGUGCCCAAACAGCAGCCACAGGAGGCUCCAUCUCCGUGCUUCCCAGGCUCACAGCCAAGAGGGUGACGAUAGCAAACGUUUAAAGUCACAUGUUCAAAACAUAGUCUUGCAUGAAACAGAAUGUGGGGUGGGAGCGUCUCUGAAGCGUGCGGAGGCCCCGUGAUAGAAGGUACCUGCCACAGCAGGGGAGAACCACACCAACCGAAUGGAAAGGCGUUUCUUUCCGUCUUCUGUCAUUCCUUCUCCAGAUGCUCUCCUGAAGAAGUCAAUAGGAGAAGAGGUGGUGGGAAAGGAAAUCAAGCAAGGAGAGCAAAAGAAAACAUGAAACUGCAAGCCCCGCUUGCUGCUCCUCUGUGCAUUCCAGGGCCGCUUAGAGUCUGAGCUGAUCUUGGGGAAGGAGGUUGAACUAGCUGCUUGAUGAAUGCCUGUUGCCUGACUUGAAAGAGGCCAUCCAUUGUGAAGAAAGGUUACAAGAAUAAUACAAAGAAGAGUGACAUCAGCAUCACGGCAGAGUGAACUUGUGUGACUCUCUCCCUUCCAACAUACAACAAAAAGGGAAAUCCAUACUCCAACAGAAGACACCCCAACAUAAUACAAAAACCUCUGAGACACAUGCAGCCAUAUGACAAGGGGUGGACAGGCUGGAGCCCCCCUCAGAGGAGGUGGAAUGGGGUAAAAGAGAUCUUUGCUCCCUCCCCUAAAGACUGAACUUGUGACUGUGGGAGGAACCACAAGAGAAGGAGUGGGUGAGGGAUUGCUCAUUGGUGGGAUCAACCAGGACUCCCUAGGGCUCAUGCAGCCUAGAUGGAAGCCCUCUAAUGGGGGAAAAGCUUUUGUGGGGAGUGACCUCAUCAAGCCAACAAGCCAAGAGACCACAUAGGGA